GCACAGAGGAAAGCAAGACUUCUGUUUUAAUUAGCCAAAAAUCUUUUUUAUUUAGCAUUUGUGACCAAAGAACCAAUAAUGUGAUUGAUCAGUUUGCACGAAAUCUUCUGAACUCCAUGCCUCCCGAUGCUAUCAUCCUACUGAGAGGAGACCUUCCGGGGAACGCGCUCCGUUACUUGCAUUACUGCGAGGGGUUGAGGCCAGAUGUUUCCCUGGUGGACCAAGAAAUGAUGACCUAUGAGUGGUACUUACCCAAGGUGGCAA
This 264-nucleotide long non-coding RNA is filed under the name Rattus norvegicus (Norway rat). RNAcentral's name for it is "long non-coding RNA NONRATT010350". Lineage: Eukaryota; Metazoa; Chordata; Mammalia; Rodentia; Muridae. The record is from RNAcentral.